This 303-nucleotide ribosomal RNA is filed under the name uncultured Fusobacterium sp. RNAcentral describes it as "bacterial SSU rRNA". It matches the Rfam family "Bacterial small subunit ribosomal RNA", at positions 1212 to 1513 of the family's 1533-position model. The record is from RNAcentral. Lineage: Bacteria; Fusobacteriati; Fusobacteriota; Fusobacteriia; Fusobacteriales; Fusobacteriaceae.
GGCUACACACGUGCUACAAUGGGUAGUACAGAGAGUCGCAAAGCCGCGAGGUGGAGCUAAUCUCAGAAAACUAUUCUUAGUUCGGAUUGUACUCUGCAACUCGAGUACAUGAAGUUGGAAUCGCUAGUAAUCGCGAAUCAGCAAUGUCGCGGUGAAUACGUUCUCGGGUCUUGUACACACCGCCCGUCACACCACGAGAGUUGGUUGCACCUGAAGUAGCAGGCCUAACCGCAAGGAGGGAUGCUCCGAGGGUGUGAUUAGCGAUUGGGGUGAAGUCGUAACAAGGUAUCCGUAUGGGAACGU